Molecule: ribosomal RNA, 465 nt
Filed under: uncultured Comamonas sp.
Lineage: Bacteria; Pseudomonadati; Pseudomonadota; Betaproteobacteria; Burkholderiales; Comamonadaceae
Description: bacterial SSU rRNA
Rfam family: Bacterial small subunit ribosomal RNA
Source: RNAcentral
CCUACGGGAGGCAGCAGUGGGGAAUUUUGGACAAUGGGGGAAACCCUGAUCCAGCAAUGCCGCGUGCAGGAUGAAGGCCUUCGGGUUGUAAACUGCUUUUGUACGGAACGAAAAGCUCUGGGUUAAUACCCUGGAGUCAUGACGGUACCGUAAGAAUAAGCACCGGCUAACUACGUGCCAGCAGCCGCGGUAAUACGUAGGGUGCGAGCGUUAAUCGGAAUUACUGGGCGUAAAGCGUGCGCAGGCGGUUUUGUAAGACAGUGGUGAAAUCCCCGGGCUCAACCUGGGAACUGCCAUUGUGACUGCAAGGCUGGAGUGCGGCAGAGGGGGAUGGAAUUCCGCGUGUAGCAGUGAAAUGCGUAGAUAUGCGGAGGAACACCGAUGGCGAAGGCAAUCCCCUGGGCCUGCACUGACGCUCAUGCACGAAAGCGUGGGGAGCAAACAGGAUUAGAUACCCCAGUAGUC